CUCGAUGAUUCUUAGCGAUGUAGGUGGUGCGUUAGCUGCUGUUCGCUGUUUGCAUGGACUUCAGCCAGGUGUUUUUAUUUGUAGUACACCUGUACAGCUACGUGCAUGAUAUGCAAGGUUUAUGAACUACGUGUCGUGUUCUCUUUUCACGCCACAUUAUUCUAUCGUUUGUUUUUCUUGCGGCCAUUCUAUACAAAGCUUGCUAUGGAUUCUUUAGUCCACGCCCGCGUUCGUUAGUAGCUGCAAGAGUUAGUCCUUCAUUCUUGUGCUCUUGUACUUUUUACGCAUGUUUUCUUUCAGUUUGAGUUAGCUAAUGCCGUAGUUUAUUGUUUGUUAACUGCGAAAAUUAUGAAGAGGCCGUUACUGUUAUCUCUAACAUUUCAUCUCCAGGAAUCAUUGAUGCGCGUCACUAAAAACGCAUACAAGUUUUCUAAGCCCCAAAUUAGCUGCUAACUAUCGGACAGAGCUUGCGCUGAGAAAUGAGAUUGCUACAAUCGAAUUAUCCAUUGAUCCGUCACACACAAACCAUGGCUCUUUAAAGGUCAUCACCCAAUUCAUUCUCCACAAAGCUUUCUGAUCACAAAUCCUCCUAUUCUUCCAUUCCUAAUUGGUAUGUUUUCUUUUGAUUAUUCUUGUAUUAUAUAAGUUUUUGACAAAUUUUGAAGUAGAUUAGUCAUGUUGUAAUUCUUCCUUUUUCUGUAGCAACUUUAUUUUGCUUUUUCUGAUUUGCUUUUUCUGAUUAUUUGCAUUUUUAGCACUUGUUUUCUUUCUUCUGAAUGUGUUUCCUGAAAGCAUGUUGCGGUCAAAACCUUCUUCACAAACAAGCUCUUCCCAUAAUUUUUUGUCUGUCAUGUGAGGGUGAUGAAUCCAUAAAGCUAUCUAUGGGGAGGUCUUUCAAUUUCUUCAAACUUUGGCCACCUUUUUUUAAUCAUUUUCGUCAAAUAUUUCAAAUAGUUGAAUUAUUGAAUGGAAAUUAAAGUAUAAUAGGAAGGAACAUCUAUCAAAUUUUGACUUGCAGCCGCUGCAUAUUAUGUAAGUAAAAUUUCAUUUUCUUUGUUGAUGACCUGUAUUUGCUUAUAUAAUUGAACAAGGUAAACUUUCUUAUUGAAGUUAUUAAGCUUUUGUAGGACUGAGACUACAAAACUCAAAUGUUUGUUUGCCACUUACCGUUUUCCUUUGCUUCGCUAAUCUUUUUGAUAGUGAAGGGCAUCAUUCCUUCUCUUCUCCUUGCUGUACUUCGAUAGAGACGGUAAUUGAAAAUAAGAAGUUACCAGUCUGUCUUUGGUCCUUGCUGCUGAGCUCAAGUUCCUCUAUUUUAUAUUGUCUACUAAUUUAUAUUGUCAGGUAAGAAGUUUUCUUUCCCGUUGGUGUUCUUUUUUGACAGUUUGAUGAUUAGCCAUGCUAUUGGUUAUUAUCAACUGUCAUGCCAAUUGAUUGAAUUUGGAGGCCUAAUGUUUUUUUACCUAACCUUUAUUUACUCAUUGUUGCAUCUUUGUUUUCUUGUUCUACUAGAUUUCUUAACACCAUACAUGUUGAUAAUUAUCUCUUUAUUGCAAGUGGUAAUAGUUUGAGCAUUGCAUGGUUUUCACCUAAACUUUUUGCUUAGUUGUGGCCAAUUCCCUGGACUUAUGCUGUUAGCCUUAGAAAUCUAACUUUCUAACACAAUCGCUUAUCAAAUUGCACACAAAAACCUGACACAGUUCAUCACAUUUUGACAACGCAAAUAUGUGACACCAAACUACCCGCUAGAAAUGUAGAAAUCCAAAAACUCCGAUUUACCGCUCAAAUCCGAAUUGAAUCCAGAAUUUUCAAUUGAAUAGUUCAAUAAUUCAGAAUGGAAAUCGAAAGAUCCAAUUUCGAAUUAAUCGAAUUCAAGUCAAAUUCAGUAAUGAGAUCUUUCAAAUAAAAAAUUAGACCCGCAUUUUCAUCCCAUCUUCGGCAAUCCACAAGUAAUCAGGAACUCGGGCAAGAUGACAUUUGAAAAAGGUUGAGUUUGGAUUUGGAUCUUCUGCCCAACAGGCCAUCAUGUGGAGUACCUGUUUAAAUAAGCUUGCAAAGAUUAGACAAUUUAUCUUAUGGUGUAUAUGAUACCUUUUUUUAAACGGAAUUUAUCUAUGAAAAUUGUCGAAUCAAUAUGUUGUCUUGAUUGUUGACAGAAUGACAAGCCAUAUUGGAACAUAAAUUUCAAAUCAAGGAGAAUGAAGUCUUUUGCACAUCAGAUCCAUCUGUUAGGUGGCUGUAAAGUGUUUAGUUCGACUCUUAAACCCUUCUCAUUUCUCCUUCCUCUUGUAUGCCUUGGAGUCUCCUUUGAACUAUAAAAACUGAAAAAAUAAUAGUAAUAAGAAAAAUUUUCGAGUUCAAAUGCAUCAGUUGGCGUUAUUGGUAAAGAAUUUCUGCGAUAAAAACGUGAAAUCUGAACCAUAUAUUACCAUCUUUUCAUAUUGUCUAUCAUGUCUAAAACUCAAUGUGCAAUAAAAGUUUUAUCAGAACGAAAACGAUAAUUAAUAGUCGUUAGCUAUUGGAAAAUGUAAAUGAAGCACAUCGAUUCUAAUGGUGAGAUAAGGGCCAAGGUUUCUGGAUUUACCUUCUGUACACAUGCUAUGUUAACAUAUCGACUGUUUUCAUCUUCAUAAUGAAUGUGUGCCAUUAGUUUUCGCAAAGCAUUUUCUCUUAGCUUGGAGAAGGGCCAGAGCUUUAAAACUGGCUCUCCAACGUGAUGGAGGAUGUCCCAAACUGUAUCUUGCAUAAAAGGUUGAGGGCUGGUGAGAUCGUCCUGCAUUUGAGAAUUGUUACAUUUCAUGUCUUGUUCAUGCAUGCAAAAUAAUUAAUUCAGAAGGACAACUUAAUAAGGAGCUUGAGGAAACUUAGAAGGCACCUAAAUGCCCAAAUUGAAUCUCGAACGAUGGAAUGAACGUUCUAGUGUGGAAUUUCUUGCUUGCUAGCUAGUAUUGAAGCAAGCAAAGAAUGGAAUUGUGAAUGGAGAAUGGAGAACGGAAUUGGCCUACCGGAAGACGUUUUAAUGCUAAGGAGCAAGAGCUUAAAUGCAGUGUUCCUACUUUACUGCAAUCUUAUAUGCAGGAUUGUGUUUGAUGGGCAGCAGCUGCUAAUGGAGUAUUUUCUGUUAAGUCUGCUAUGGAAAAACUGUUCCGCGCAGGAGCGCAGGUAUCUUGGUUCAAGCUUCUCUGGGGGAAUUGUAAUAUACUAAAGUUAGAUUUGUGCUGACUGCUGAGGUUAGCACUACAACACAAACUGUUGACCAAUGACAGACUUGCUAGAUAGAGAGUAGCUAAUUUCUCUGUAGUUUGUGUUCUGUGCAAUCAAGAAAAUGAAACGAUUUAGCAUCUAUUCUUCCAAUGCACUUUUUCUGAGUGUGCAUGGGAGAAAUUACAGAGACUUUGUGAAGUUAUUUUGCACAAAUCAACAACAGCAUAUUUCUUUUGCCCAGAGAAAAAGGGGGCCCGGGGUGUGGGGUUGUUGGUGGGGGGGGGGGGUGGUGUGGGUGGGUUAUUCAUUGUCGCAACUUAAUUACCUUUAGGCACGAAUGUCGUGUUGCAUUCCAAUUGAUUGUAUCAUAAGGUUCAUUGUAGAGCUCAUUUCUCAGUGACAGUAUCAGAUCGGUGAUUGGCCCAACAUAUUUCCUCCCAUACAAAUAUGCAAGGGGCAUAUAUGUUUCCCGUAAAUAGCACCACAAAUUUCCUAUAUUGAAAGAAGAAAGGUAAUAGGGCGUCAAUUGUAGUACAUUUAUAUGCAUAAGUUGCUAAUCAAUUAUAUUAUUUGAUAUUUAUCUUAAGUGGAACUACUUAAUUUUACUCUUAUAUUAUUCUAAUAGGUGAAAAACCCAAUUAGAGGGAAAAUGGACUAAAAAAGUGGGUGAAGAAGCAAUAAAAGAGGAAAAAGUCAAGAGAAAUAGGUUUGAUAGGAUUGACAUGUUUCAAUAUUUUGGUGAUAAUUUGAGCUACACAAAACAGAUUGAGAUGAUUCUUGAUUCGAUUUGCAAUUAUGAAGACAUCAAAGUUUGGUUCUUACGUUUUCAUGGUCAAAAAUCUAAAUUACUAAAGUAUAGUUGCGCUGCAAUUCUCUUACAACCACGUCUCAGUAUUUUAGGCAUAUUUCAAUGUUCAAACCUUCAAAUGACUUGGUUCUUAUAGAGUUGGAAAGGUUAUUCAAAGAGCUACAACUUUUAUGUUUUGAGUAAGAACUGAUUCGACAUAUUUGGUGGAGUUUUGGGCUUCAAAAUUGAUCCACGUGUAGAUCCCUAUUGAUCCGCAGACGGAUCCAAGACCGACGCCAGACAUUGGGCUGGUCUUAAUCAGAAAAAUGUGCAAAAAUGUGAUUUUUCAAAUUCAAUAAAGCCUAUUCCUAUCUUGUUUGGAAUACAUGUUCAAGAAGCUAUAAAUAGGGAUUCUUUAGGUCAUUUUAGGGUGGAAAACAUUAAUCUAAACUAGUUUUAACAUCUUUUCAUAGUUUAAUCUUGAGAGAUCGAGAUCAAAUAGAGGUGAAUCAAGGAACGCACAAGGAGAAGAUUGAAACAAGCAGCUAAGAAGUUUUCUUACUCUUUUUCUUAUCUUUGUAGUAACUCUUUGAAUUCGUGGUCUUAAUUUUCUAAUCAUGUUGAACUAAAUUGUUGCUAGACUUAGGGUUUUUAUAAAGGAAUUUGAUUAAUUUUUCUAAUUUAACUUUUUGCCUUUUGCUAUAAUUUAUCUAUAUCAAUUUUAAUUACGUGUUUAUGUUUGGCCACCAUAGACAUACUCUUAGGGUUUGUAUUAAAUUAAGAAGAGAUAUAAAACAAUGUACUAGAUAGAUAAACAUACUUAACCUAAUCACAAGAGUAUGUUAGAAUUCGUCGAUCAAGUUUUUGGCGCCAUUGCUGAGGACGACACUAAGUUUUUCUUCACUUUUAUUUUUAUUUUUAUUUUUCUUGCUCAGGUACCUUAGUUUAUGAUGGCUUUGGACAUUCCUACCAAUCAGAAUCCACCACCAGCUCCACCUGCUAGACUUCAUCUGAGGGACAUCUAACGUUCUGUGAUAACAGCUUCCUCCACAUUAUAUCCGGCUAAAUGAUAAGGUUAGGAAUUACAAGUCCAAGACAUUGCAUUUUAAUAUGCUUCUUGCUUUUCGUGGUUUAACUAAUGAAGAACUGCUAUCUUUUAUCCGAAAAUUUUAUUCGGUGGUGUAGACUUUUCCAUUGAGUAGGAUAUUAAAAGAUGAUCUGUAGAUGAGGUGUUUUCCCUACUGACUCAAGGACCGUGCUAAAUUUUGGCUGCUAAACUUACUUGCGGGAUCCUUAAGAACGUGGGAAGAUAUUUACAAUAUCUUUAUGACCAAGCACUACUCUCCACAAAAAACUAUUGAUCUAAGGAACAAGAUUUGCUACUUUGCUCAAAUGGAAGGAGAGUCCAUUCACAAAGUUUGGGAACGAUUUAAGUUACUAACUAGUCAAUGUCUUCAUCACCAGUAUCCAUUGGCUCUACAAUGUAGUUUUUCUAUGAUGGAUUUCACGACUCAAAAUAUGAUAGAUUUUGCAGCAGGAGGGUAUAUUAGUGAUAAAAUUUCGGAAGAAUUGGUUGCAAUGUACGAGUUACUUGCUAAUAACUCUCAACAAAAAGCAAAUUGAGGUAAAAGAAUAAGUGUACAUAAAGUGUCUACUUCUAAGGAUUUUGGUUCACAAGUGGCCAAAUUCAGUCGUCAGAUGCAUCGGAUCCAAUUAUUGCUAAAAGACGAAACUCAGUUUUCAUGGCUAUGUUCUCAAAUGAAUGAUCUCUUUUCUAAUACGUAUAAUGAGGGGUGGAGAAAUCUCCCUAAUUUAUCAUGAAGAAAUUAAGGGGUCACCCCUAUUGGACAAUCUGGGUUCCCAGAUCAGCCACAAGGAUCUCAAUAUCUACCUCCACCUACUCAAGAAAAGAAGCCAAGUGUUGAAAACAUGAUGUUGCAAUAUAUGCAGAAACUGGAGCAAAUAGCUCAAUUUCAACAAGCUUCUAUUCAAAGUUUGGAGAGACAAGUAGGCCAACUGGCGAAGGCAAUAAUUGAAAGGAGGCAAGAUAAACUGCCUAGCACCACUGAAGUGAAUCCUAAAAAAGCUACAAUGGCAAUAACAAAGUGUUGGAUGAUCCAGGAGUUAAAGUAAAGCCAGUACUUGAGAAGAAAAAUAAGGUUAAAGUGGAUGAUGAAAGUAAAAAAAUUGAGGAUGAGCAUGAUGGUUUGGGCAAACAUGGUCAUGAAGAUAAUCAAUGUAUAAAAUUGCUUGAAGUUAAAGCUUAUGUGCCGCAUAUUCCUUUCCUGCAAAGGGUUAAGAAAAGGCAACUGAUACGCUAUAUCAGAAGUUCGUGGAUAUGUUUAGGAAGUUAUAAGUCAUUGUGCCUUUUCCGAAAUUUUGGCAAAUAUCCCUACUUAUGCAAAGUUCUUAAAGAAGAUAGUGUCUAAUAAAAAGAAGUUAAAGGACUUUACAGAGGUGUCUCUUACUAAGGAAUAUGGUGCAGUGCUUCAAAAUUGUCUCCAAUUAAGAUGAAAGAUCCAGGGAGUUUUACCAGUGCCUUGUCAAUUUGAACAUAUUCUUGUUGAGAAGUGUUUAUGUGAUCUUGGAUCUAGUGUUAAUUUGAUACCCUUAUCAUUUUUCAAGAAAUUGAAAUUUGCCAACCUACUGCCUACUCAAGUGAUUCUACAAUUGGCUAAGCAUUCAGUUUGAUAUCUAAUAGGCAUUGUAGAGAAUUUAUUGGUUAAAAUUGGUAAAUUUUAUUUUUCUACUGAUUUUCUUGUUCUUGAUAUGGAGGAAGAUAUUUCUGUACCUUUUAUCUUUGGUAGAAGAUUCUUAGCUAUAGGAGGUGCUAAUAUAGAUUUAUUUGAAAGAAAAUUAACUUUAAGGGUUGGUAAAGAGAAAGAAAAAUUUAAUGUUUUUGAACCCUUUAAAUACCCUUUGUAUGAGGAGUCUUGUUCUUUUAUUGCUGCUACUGAUAAGUUGUAUGAUAAAAAAUAUGUUUUAGAACAGGACAUAGGAUUAAUGCCUUUGCAUGAUCAUCACUCAUAUUCUUCGUUCGCGGUCUGGAAACGCAAUGCUGAUGCGAACAGUUAUGCAAUACUGCAGGCACAUAAAUUAAAGGAUAUGCAAAAGUCUGAACGAUUUCAUCCUCCAUGACCUUAUCUAUCCUUGUUCGGUUGAAGACAUAAAAUUUAGUGCUUAUCGGGAGGCAACCCGACUUUCUUUUUAAUUUAUUUAAUAUUUUCCUUUUGUUUGGGAUUAAUGGCAGUGUAUAUUUCCUUACAAUUUUAUUGUUUUCUAGUUUGGGUUUUAGUGGUGUAUUUAACUCCUAUUUGUAGUAUUUUCUAGUCUUUUUAUAGUUUGGUAGGAUGGCUUCUUGAACUUGACUAUUGGAUAGUAACUAGCAACUUCUCUCACCCCACUUGACUUUUAGCACAAGGGAGUUUCAUUUUCAA
Molecule: long non-coding RNA, 7428 nt
Filed under: Coffea arabica (coffee)
Lineage: Eukaryota; Viridiplantae; Streptophyta; Magnoliopsida; Gentianales; Rubiaceae
Description: long non-coding RNA (CARA_LNC006093)
Source: RNAcentral